UGGGGAAUCUUCCGCAAUGGACGAAAGUCUGACGGAGCAACGCCGCGUGUAUGAUGAAGGUCUUCGGAUUGUAAAGUACUGUCAUUGGGGAAGAACGGUUUUCUUGAAAAGAUUGAGAAGACAUGACGGUACCCAAGGAGGAAGCCCCGGCUAACUACGUGCCAGUAGCCGCGGUAAUACGUAGGGGGCAAGCGUUGUCCGGAAUUAUUGGGCGUAAAGGGCGCGUAGGCGGGCCUUUAAGUCCGGUGUGAAAGAUCAGGGCUCAACCCUGAGAGUGCAUCGGAAACUGGAGGCCUUGAGGACAGGAGAGGAAAGUGGAAUUCCACGUGUAGCGGUGAAAUGCGUAGAUAUGUGGAGGAACACCAGUGGCGAAGGCGACUUUCUGGACUGUAACUGACGCUGAGGCGCGAAAGCGUGGGGAGCAAACAGGAUUAGAUACCCUGGUAGUCCACGCCGUAAACGAUGNGUGCUAGGUGUAGAGGGUAUCACCCCUUCUGUGCCGCAGUUAACANAAUAAGCACU
RNAcentral lists this ribosomal RNA (522 nucleotides) under uncultured bacterium. RNAcentral describes it as "partial 16S ribosomal RNA". It matches the Rfam family "Bacterial small subunit ribosomal RNA", at positions 355 to 868 of the family's 1533-position model. The record is from RNAcentral.